This 37-nucleotide ribosomal RNA is filed under the name Tuber magnatum (white Piedmont truffle). Its description in RNAcentral is "partial 28S ribosomal RNA". Lineage: Eukaryota; Fungi; Ascomycota; Pezizomycetes; Pezizales; Tuberaceae. RNAcentral also lists the same sequence under 5 other names. The record is from RNAcentral.
UGACCUCAGAUCAGGUAGGGAUACCCGCUGAACUUAA